GCGAGUGUAACUCAGUUGGUUAGAGUGUUAGGUUGUGGUUCUAAAAGUCGGGGGUUCAAAUCCCCUUACCCGCC
RNAcentral lists this transfer RNA (74 nucleotides) under Lessonia variegata. RNAcentral describes it as "tRNA-His". It matches the Rfam family "tRNA". Rfam says of the family: Transfer RNA (tRNA) molecules are approximately 80 nucleotides in length. Their secondary structure includes four short double-helical elements and three loops (D, anti-codon, and T loops). Further hydrogen bonds mediate the characteristic L-shaped molecular structure. tRNAs have two regions of fundamental functional importance: the anti-codon, which is responsible for specific mRNA codon recognition, and the 3' end, to which the tRNAs corresponding amino acid is attached (by aminoacyl-tRNA synthetases). tRNAs cope with the degeneracy of the genetic code in two manners: having more than one tRNA (with a specific anti-codon) for a particular amino acid; and 'wobble' base-pairing, i.e. permitting non-standard base-pairing at the 3rd anti-codon position. Lineage: Eukaryota; Phaeophyceae; Laminariales; Lessoniaceae. The record is from RNAcentral.